GAUGAACGCUGGCGGCGUGCCUAACACAUGCAAGUCGAGCGGAAAUAUCGGAAGUACUUGUACGGAAGAUAUUUUAGCGGCGGACGGGUGAGUAAUACGUGAGUAACCUGCCUUCGGCAGUGGAAUAACAUUGUGAAAACAGUGCUAAUACCGCAUAACGUCAUUGACCGGCAUCGGUUGAUGACCAAAGGAGAAAUCCGGCAGAAGAUGGACUCGCGUCCGAUUAGCUAGUUGGCGGGGUAAAGGCCCACCAAGGCGACGAUCGGUAGCCGAACUGAGAGGUUGAUCGGCCACAUUGGGACUGAGACACGGCCCAGACACCUACGGGUGGCAG
RNAcentral lists this ribosomal RNA (334 nucleotides) under uncultured Bacillota bacterium. Its description in RNAcentral is "bacterial SSU rRNA". It matches the Rfam family "Bacterial small subunit ribosomal RNA", at positions 28 to 351 of the family's 1533-position model. The record is from RNAcentral. Lineage: Bacteria; Bacillati; Bacillota.